CUAAACGCCAGGGGGCGCCCUUAUCGGGAUAAGGGCUGAGAAGCACCCCAAGAACCUGAUCCGGAUAAUACCGGCGGAGGGAUUGGCGAGCAAUCGACCA
Molecule: non-coding RNA, 100 nt
Filed under: Desulfonatronospira thiodismutans
Lineage: Bacteria; Pseudomonadati; Thermodesulfobacteriota; Desulfovibrionia; Desulfovibrionales; Desulfonatronovibrionaceae
Also listed under: 1 other name
Description: TPP sequence
Rfam family: TPP riboswitch aptamer (THI element)
About the family: Vitamin B(1) in its active form thiamin pyrophosphate (TPP) is an essential coenzyme that is synthesised by coupling of pyrimidine and thiazole moieties in bacteria. The previously detected thiamin-regulatory element, thi box was extended, resulting in a new, highly conserved RNA secondary structure, the THI element, which is widely distributed in eubacteria and also occurs in some archaea.
Source: RNAcentral